GUUGGAGGCAGCAUGUGACUCCCAGGGCUACGUGGGCUCAAAAACAAUUUAAAUACAAAAACACAAGCAGGUUCCCCUCCUCUCCUUUGCCUUUUGGUCUGGCUCUCCCUUCCCUUUGGGUUGGCGCCGGCCUAAAUGGAAAACCCGUCGUCUUGCCUGCGCUAACCUGUGAGCACCGGGUACCUGGAGGCCAAGGCCCCUCUGCUGGGGGGGGGGCGGUCCCCCGGGAGCUGUACCCCAUCAUUCCGCAGCCCGGUGUGAACACUGAGGCCCAGAGAGGUGAUGUGAUUUGCCCUAAGCCAUGCAGCUAGUGGCAGAGCCAGGCCUAGAAGCCAGGUGUCCUGGCUCCCAAGACAUUCCGCUGCCCAAGGAAUGGAACAGCUCCCCCCUCUUCUUAGAUGACGCUGACAGCGGGUACCAGCACCCCCAGGCCAUUGUAAUUAGCAUCUGGCUCUGAGCCCAGUCUUCUGGCAGCACAUUCCUCUCCUCCCUCGCCAGCCAAUCUCCUUCCCCCAGCAUCCCUCCAUCAGCACUGCAGCAGCUGCAGCACCGACAACCUCCGCACCAAGGUCACCACCAGAACCAACAAUGACGAAGCACUCACUUCCCUCUUGGGUGGGCACCACACCGGUCAGCGCCUCGCGAUCGUCUGAGCCAUUCUGG
This 663-nucleotide long non-coding RNA is filed under the name Cervus hanglu yarkandensis (Yarkand deer). RNAcentral describes it as "lncRNA (ENSCHYG00000002163.1)". The record is from RNAcentral. Lineage: Eukaryota; Metazoa; Chordata; Mammalia; Artiodactyla; Cervidae.